This 486-nucleotide ribosomal RNA is filed under the name uncultured bacterium. Its description in RNAcentral is "bacterial SSU rRNA". It matches the Rfam family "Bacterial small subunit ribosomal RNA", at positions 335 to 802 of the family's 1533-position model. The record is from RNAcentral.
ACUCCUACGGGAGGCAGCAGUGGGGAAUAUUGCACAAUGGGCGCAAGCCUGAUGCAGCCAUGCCGCGUGUAUGAAGAAGGCCUUCGGGUUGUAAAGUACUUUCAGCAGUUAGGAAGGUGGAGUCGAUAAUCGGUCAGGUACCUGCCGCCAUUUGUACGUUUAGCUGCAGAAGAAGCACCGGCUAACUCCGUGCCAGCAGCCGCGGUAAUACGGAGGGUGCGAGCGUUAAUCGGAAUUACUGGGCGUAAAGCGCAUGCAGGUGGUUUGUUAAGUCAGAUGUGAAAGCCCGGGGCUCAACCUCGGAAUUGCAUUUGAAACUGGCAAACUAGAGUACUGUAGAGGGGGGUAGAAUUUCAGGUGUAGCGGUGAAAUGCGUAGAGAUCUGAAGGAAUACCGGUGGCGAAGGCGGCCCCCUGGACAGAUACUGACACUCAGAUGCGAAAGCGUGGGGAGCAAACAGGAUUAGAUACCCUGGUAGCUACGAGU